AUAAUAAUUAAAAAUUUUACAGGCCAGUUGGAGUUUGGGGAAAAAUUGUCGGUUCCCUUUGCGCCAUUGCCGGUGUUCUUACCAUUGCGCUUCCCGUGCCUGUUAUUGUCUCCAAU
Molecule: non-coding RNA, 116 nt
Organism: Pediculus humanus corporis (human body louse)
Lineage: Eukaryota; Metazoa; Arthropoda; Insecta; Psocodea; Pediculidae
Source: Rfam